This 348-nucleotide unclassified non-coding RNA is filed under the name soil metagenome. RNAcentral describes it as "partial contains 5.8S ribosomal RNA, internal transcribed spacer 2, and large subunit ribosomal RNA". The stretch from base 1 to 120 matches the Rfam family "5.8S ribosomal RNA", at positions 35 to 154 of the family's 154-position model. The record is from RNAcentral.
GAUGAAGAACGUAGCGAAAUGCGAUAAGUAGUGUGAAUUGCAGAUUUCAGUGAAUCAUCGAAUCUUUGAACGCACAUUGCGCCCGCUGGUAUUCCGGCGGGCAUGCCUGUUCGAGCGUCAUUUCAACCCUCAAGCCCCCGGGUUUGGUGUUGGGGAUCGGCUCUGCCCUUCUGGGCGGUGCCGCCCCCGAAAUACAUUGGCGGUCUCGCUGCAGCCUCCAUUGCGUAGUAGCUAACACCUCGCAACUGGAACGCGGCGCGGCCAUGCCGUAAAACCCCAACUUCUGAAUGUUGACCUCGGAUCAGGUAGGAAUACCCGCUGAACUUAAGCAUAUCAAUAAGCGGAGGA